CCUAGAGAGAACCUCCAUCCUCCGGAUACCAUCUAUGUCUCUUCACUGGAGGAGCCGCCACCGGCGAACACCAUAUAUGCCAACGACCACCAAAUUCACACCACAGAUUCCCCAAGAAUCCCUCUUUCUAACCAUGCCAUUAGUUUCCCUCGAAUCUCACCAGAGCUCGUCGAAUAUCCGUUGGAACAUUUCCGGCCACGACAUCACUACGUCCAUUUGAUACCAGAUUAGCAACAUAGCUUCCUCUCCCCAUCCUCUAACAAUUCCCCUUAACCCCAUGUCCCGAACGUGGCCGGAACUGUUCGAAUGACAUUUAUAAACUUUCCGGCCAAAACCUAAAUAAUCCAAUCCUUGCCAAAUUAGUUUCAUAAGGUUCUUGGGCUUCCCUCAUGAGGAAUUCAGUGUCAAAAAGUUUGAAUGUCACCGGAGAUGGCCGGAGUGGAAUCUUCAGUUAGCCGGUUUUUCUUUUGUUUAAGUCGUUUCAAUAUCAGUGAGUUUCCUUUCUUGGUGUAUUUCUCUUAUUUUGCUGUGUUAAUUCCCAGUUUAGUGUGCGUUAAUUGUUGUUAAUUCUCUUCUGACUUUGUGCUUAGCUAUUUAUUUGUCUAGGUUUAGUUAGUCUAUAUAAGUUGGAUAAUCAAUCGUCUUUCUAUUUGACUUUCACUAUAGUUUUGUCCUAAUUAAUUCAGAGUCAAUAUUUUGGGUGAAUUAUUGGUUUUAGUUCAUUAUGAGGUUUUAAUUAGUUAGUAUUCAAGGAUGGUUAGUUUGUUCGGGUAGUACUUCUGAGGUGAUAAUUAGCAGAUUUUGUUAAUCUAGGUUAGCAAUAUUCAGAAAUAAAAAAGUAAAUUCCAGGUUAGUUUAGAAUAUAAUAGAGGAAACUAGAAUUCACUAGGAUGUUCUAGAAGGGGUUCAAAGUGAAAGUCAGUAAAAAUGGGUGUUAGCUUGCAUAAUAAGUUAAAAAACUAAGGGACUAGAGUUGAAAUGAAAUGAGGGACACCUAAAGGGAAAACUAAAAUUUGAGGCUCAUUUUUUGUUGCCUAUAAAAGGGCAUCAAAAUGCCUUGAGGAGGGGUCUUCUUUUUCAGCCAUCAAAUUCCCUUCGAAGAUCUGAUCCAGCUGGCAAACUUCAAAUUUAGAGUCUGUUUAGUUCUCUAUAGAAAAUCCAAAAAAAACAUAGGAAAUCGCAUAAAAAAACCACAAACAAGUUACUGUUCCAUUGAUAUCUCAAGUUUAAUCUCAGGUUUUCCUAUUUCGAAUUUGGUGUUUGAGGUCUCAUAGGUAUACAAAUUGAUUUUGGGUAGGUUUGAGUCCAAUUGAACUAGGUUGUGAUCGAGAUUGCAUUUCUGCUGGAAGUGUGAGUGUAUUCUAAGUAAUGUUCGAGAUUUUUGGUCUGUUUUGGAACUGGUUCGGUUUGACCUCUCAUUUGGCGAAUUUUAAUUCUUUUCUUGUGGUUGUUGCUGAUUAUUUCGGUUGAAUCUCGUUAGUUUUUUUUUUUUUGCAAUUGUGAAGAAUAGGUUCAAAGGGAUUCGUAAAUGUUAUUAAAAAUGAGAAUUAAACUCAAUUUGGUAAUAUGAUGUAAUUAAGACAAGAGGUGUUGCUCUGAUGGUAAGCAACCUCCACUUCCAGCCGAGAGGUUGUGAGUUCGAGUCUCCCCAAGAGCAAGGUGGGAAGUUCUUGGANNNNNNNNNNNNNNNNNNNNNNNNNNNNNNNNNNNNNNNNNNNNNNNNNNNNNNNNNNNNNNNNNNNNNNNNNNNNNNNNNNNNNNNNNNNNNNNNNNNNNNNNNNNNNNNNNNNNNNNNNNNNNNNNNNNNNNNNNNNNNNNNNNNNNNNNNNNNNNNNNNNNNNNNNNNNNNNNNNNNNNNNNNNNNNNNNNNNNNNNNNNNNNNNNNNNNNNNNNNNNNNNNNNNNNNNNNNNNNNNNNNNNNNNNNNNNNNNNNNNNNNNNNNNNNNNNNNNNNNNNNNNNNNNNNNNNNNNNNNNNNNNNAGGUGGGAAGUUUUUGGAGGGAAGGAUGCUGGGGGUCUAUUUGGAAACAGCCUCUCUACCCAAGGGUAGGAGUAAGGUCUGCGUACACACUACUCUCCUCAGACCCCACUAAGUAGGAUUAUAUUGGGUUGUUGUUGUUGUUGUUGAUGUAAUUGGUAGUUAAAGUUCAAAAAUAAAAAAGGGUGCAAUCGAUUCCUGGGUCCCGUGAAAUAGCAAUUCAGUAGUACCAGCUUAAUUCUUACAAUUUGUUGUAUUUUCCAUUCAACUUCAUACAUUAUAUUUUUGGUGAUUGCCCGUGAUUUGUAAAUAAGUGGGCCAAUUGAUAGCCCAAUUAAGAUAUUGCUUAAGACUCAACUUGAUUCCCAAAGUUGCAAGGCGUAGUUUGGGCCUGCCAGACCCAGUUGAGCUUUGUUUUGAUGAUGUUACAAGGUUCCCUUUUUAAAGAGUAAAGUAGCUUCAAAAUAACAAUAAUUAAUUAAGAUUUAAAUUUAUUUUAGAGAAAAAUAGAAAAUCGUAGUCACUUUUAGGCUGGCCUUUAUAUAAAAUGAUGAGACGAGCCUCGCAAAAUAAAAUACAAAAUACAGGGCCUCAAUAAAUGUUAUAUGAAAAUACUUAGAAUUCGUGAAGUCCAUUUAGCGAAUUUCACGACAUUCCCCAAAAUAAUAUUACGUUAGACUGUUUAAGCACGAUUUUAAUAAAAUUACCUUCUUAAACUCGGGUGCGCAUUGAUGCGACCCAAAUUCAAAUCUCAACGGAGCCAAAAUGUGUUAACAACCACGGGUGCAUUGAUUGCGACGUGGUUCGAGAUGCAUAUUUGCAUCGUUUAAAUUCUUUUAAAAAUAAUGAUAAAAGCGGUUUACAAAUAAAAGGCACAUAAGCUAAAAUAUAUUUUGAAAUAAGAUAAAAUCAAAUACAACAGUUGAGCGAAUGUGCUAGAAGCAUGGAACCCAGAAAUGCCUAACACCUUCUCCCAGGUUAACAGAAUUCCUUUCUCGAAUUUUUGGUUUACUGACUGUUAACAAACUCAUAUCAUUCCUCGAUUCAGGAUUAAACGGUGAUUAGGGACACCAUUAAUCUCCCAAGUGACGACUCUGAAUAAUUAAUAAUUGAAUCCCAUUCUGAUUGCCCUUUAAGUGGAAAAACUCCUUUACGCCUUUGCAGGUGUAGUGAAAAAGGAGGUGUGAUAGCUCUGACGACCCUGCUGGGAAUAAGAACCCAGAACAUUUUAUUCAGGGUUCAGGAUUUGAGCUUAGAAUAAUUGUUGUAUUUGACUAUAUCUGGUUGUCCCACAUGUUUCAUGCUAUUUGUGCUAAAUAUUUAACGCUUUGAUAUUAUCUGGACUGUAUAUAAACUGUGCCGAAACCCUUCUCUUCUCACAUUGGGGGAUGUGCUUACUGGUUGAGACUCCCUAUUCUGUUGGUGUCAUACCCAGAAAUAAGAAAGAGACUCAGAUAAGUUACAAAGUCGGACGAUCUCGCGGGUCCCCGGUACGUAGCCCCCUCCUCGACUCGAGUUGUCCCUCAGGAACACUGUUUAGAAAACAUACCUAGGUCUUUGAAUAUGGAAUAAUGGACUUCAUGCCGGAUCACAAGUAGGAGUGCUUAUUUGCAUCAUGCUGCAUUUGAUUUAGGGUACUCAAUAUAGGGGUUGGGUCCCUCUAGGACUACCAAGUCGAAAAUGAAAAAAAUCAUCCUGAUGCAUCCUACUUAUUCUAUGCAUUUAUUUGUUCGGACCUGCAUGCUGAACGGCCUCUGAAUAUCUGAAUUUUGGGAAAAUUGAGGAAAAACAGAGAAAUAGCAGAAAAAACCAAUGCUCAAAUACUGUCGAAACUCUGCUGAAAUUUUGAGAAAAUGAAAAAGAAAAUGUUUUAUUUUAAAUAGUUUGUUUUACUCAAAAAGCACAAAAAAAGGAAAACAAUCUUAUUUUUGGUUUUUCUUGUUUUCAAAAUAGUUUAUUUGCCACCGAAAAAAGAAAAAUAGGUUGUUUUCUUGUUUGUUGAAAAAAAAAAAAAAGAAAAAGAGUCUUUUAAUUUUAGUUUGGAAAAAUAGGUUGUUUUAUUGUUUGUUGAAAAAGAAAAGAAAAGGAUAUUUUAUUUUUAGUUUUGAAAAAUAGGUUGUUUUAUUGUUUGUUGAAAAGGAAAAAGAAAAAAAGUCUUGUUUCUGAAAGUAGUUUUUUUUCGCUUAUGAAAUGCCAAACAUGAAAAUGAAAAAGAGUCCUGUUUUAAAAUGGUUCGGUUAAUUUGUCUGAACUAUGGUAGGUUUGAAUUUCACCGGAUAUGAGAUAUGUAGGCAAGCCUCAUCGGGUCCAAUCUCCCCUUUGCAAAAAUAGCCAAACAAUGUCAAAUUUAAUUUUCGUCAAAAAAUAGCCGAAUGAUUCCGAAAGGGACGCCGGAAGGCUUCUUUUGCAAGAACAUCCACCUUUGGUCAUUUGUUAAAGAUUUUGGCCGGUUAGCCAACGUAACCUUAAAAUCAUCGUCUCCGUGGCCCUGAAAGGCCGUGUUUGCAAAACUGGUUCUUUUAUUUUAAUUUUCGAGAAAGAAAGAGUCAAUGGUCAAGUGAAUACUGUUUGGAUUUUUUGUCAAAUUAAGCCGAGCCAGCUUCGGCAGUGUCUUUAACCGUGCUUGCUGAGAUGGCCUUAGAGUAUCUUUCAGUUGUUGAAAGGCUAUUUUCGGAAAAAAACGAACAAGUUUGGGAAAUGGCAUAAAAUAAUCCUUCCCGACCUCAAAAUUCAUGUGAAAUUGGGAAUGUGCCACGUUUGCAAAAACAGCCAUUUGGUUAAAAUUGCAAAUAGGGAAAGGAAUUUGUCCAUUGGUUUUGGUUUGUAAUUCUUUUGAUUAGAGUAGGUGGGUCAUUUGAUAUUCAAGUGUUUUAUUUUUCUUUCCAAAAAAAAAUGUCUAGUUUUGUAAUAGAAUGUUUCGUUAGUGAAAAUUGAAGAAUUCCCAAAAAUGGUUUCUUUAUUUUUUGCAUUUAUUUUCACGAACAAAGCUUGGUCUAAUUCAUGCGAGGUCAUGAUACGUAGGCAAUCUCCAUAGGAUUCCACCAUAACCAAAAAAAAGAGAAAGAAAAGAAGAGAGCGGAAAAACAAGGAAAAAAAGAAUGGAAAAGGUGAGAAAAGAAAAGAGCGGAAACACAAGAAAGGGAUAGAAUAAGAAAAUUGAAAAGAGAAAAGAAAGAAAGAAAGAAAAAAGAAAAGAAAGGACGAAAGAAAAGAGAAAAGAAACAAAAGAAAGAACGCUGUCAUGAGAAACGAUCGGGAUGAUGCGUGCGAUCAAGCUAAUACAUAAUAGAAAUGGUUAAUUGUAUAGGUGCAUUCACACCAACGUUCGGUUAUCCAAUCUGUUAAAGACUAAUCCCUAAAAAAGUUGUUAUCUAAAUGUGUGAGUCCAGACAAGUGGUUAGUUGAUCAGGCAUUUUGUCAACCCAUCCAUACAACACCCGGUCGAAAGAUAAAGUGAACAUGCCAGGACAUGAAUCAGAGACAAACAUUGUGGACAUAUCGAAAGAGGUUGAGGGGACAGAGGUUCACGCAAUGAAAGAGGAGAUGCGUAAACUGAAACAACAAAUGGAUGAAAUGUAUCAGGCCUGGUCUCAGGGGCAUCCGGUGGUAGUGUAUCCCGCCAACCCAUCUUAUAUCCCACCUCUGGUUCAGUCUCAGGAGCCUCCCACCCCAAACUCAUCUCCAGCCUUCCAUUACUACACACAAGGCUAUGGCACCACUUCCUAUGCUCCUCCAACUCCACCACACAAACAAAACCCUCAUCCACCAAUUGUUCUUGUCUUUGUGGCACCUUUACCGGCCACACUGCAAAGAUCAUCCAGUGAGCCAUUGUUCCAAGCUCAAGAUAAUCAAUUAUAUCCUCCUGAACAUAUAUUCAAAACUCCUGGGCCAUAUAUUCAAAGCUCCUGAGCCAUAUACCUAUGCACCCCGUUUUGAGAUCCCGGAAGAAAUCGAGAAGCCGUCUAAGAGUUCGGAGCAGGAAGAAGUGCUACACAAAGUAAAAAGCCUGGAGCAGUCUUUCAGGAAUAUGCAUGGAUUGGGCUGCCAAGUCAGUGUGGCCUAUAAAGAUUUGUGCUCUUUCCCCUUGUUCAGUUGCGUGUGGGGUUCAAAAUGCCAAAUUUUGAUUUGUAUGAGGGACAUGGUAAUCCAGUGACACACCUUCGAGGUUUUUGCAGUAAAAUGAGAGGGGCCGGUGGGAAGGAUGAGCUGUUGAUUGCAUAUUUUGGCCAGAGUCUGAGCGGGUCUGCACUAGAAUGGUACACGGGGCAGGAUCCUGGUAGGUGGUACACCUGGGAUGACUUGGUGCAGGCAUUCAUUGGUCAUUUCCUAUAUAAUCUUGAGAUCGUCCCCAACCGUCUAUCAUUUUUGAAACUCGAGAAAGAGACUAGAGAGAGCUUUAUGGAGUUUGUUUUCCGUUGGAGGGAACAUGCAGUGAGAGUGGAUCCGCUAAUGAGAGAAAGUAAAAUGGUGGACUACUUUUUACAGGCUUUGUAGACAACUUACUUUGGUCACCUAGUAACGGCAAUUGGCAAAUCUUUUAAUGAAGUGGUGAAGAUUGGAGCUAUGAUUGAGAAAGGAUUGAAAUCCAAUAAAAUCAUGAACUAUUCAACGAUCAAAGCAACCACCCAGGCCAUCCCAAGCGGCACUGAGGGUGUGCUGGGAAAGAAGAAGAAAGAAGAGGUUGCAACAGUCAAAGCAGGAGCUUGGCCCGGAUCUAGAGGCCUUUCACCAUACUACCAACCCAGACCUCACAACCCAAAUUACCCAUAAACUCCAUAUGGCCCUCCACAAUACUACUAUCCACCGCCAGACCCACAUUUUUUCGUUCACCAAGCUCAAACUUAUACCCAGCCUCCGACUCAUGCGCAAUGGCGUGCACCGGCUCCCCAAAGUACAUACCCACUUCCACAAAACACAUAUACACUUCCUUGAGUUCUAUGGUAAUGAAACAAGUUCAAAAAUGGUUGCAAGUUUAGUAAUCAAUCCCACUUGGCCUUGUAGUUACGGAAUAGAUUUGAGAUGUUCGUUUCAGUAGUUGAAUCUCGUUAGUUUUUUUUUUUUUUUGCAAUUGUGAAGAAUAGGUUCAAAGGGAUUGGUAAAUGUUAUUAAAAAUGAGAAUUAAACUCAAUUUGGUAAUGCGAUGUGGUUGGUAGUUAAAGUUCAAAAAUAAAAAAGAGUGCAAUUGAUUCCUAAAGUUCAAAAAUGAAAAAGAGUGCAAUUGAUUUCUGGGUCCCGUGAAGUGGCAAUUCAGUGGUACCAGCUUAAUUCUUACAAUUUGUUGUAUUUUCCUUUCAAAUUCAGACAUUUGUCUUUUGGUGAUUGCCCGUGAUUUGUAAAUAACUAGGCCAAUUGAUAGCCCAAUUAAGAUAUUGCUUAAGACUCAACUUGAGUCCCAAAGCUGCCGCGCAUGGUUUUGGCCUGCCAGGCCCACUUGUGCUUUGUUUUGACAAUAUUACAAGGUUCCUUGUUUAAAGAGUAAAGUAGCUUCAAAAUAACAAUAAUUAAUUAGGAUUUUAUUUUAUUUUAGAGACAAAUAAAAAAUCAUAGUCACUUUUAGGUUGGCCUUUUAAUAAUAUGAUGAGACGAGCUUCACCAAGUAAAAUAUAAAAUGCGGGGCCCUCAAUAAAUGUUAUAUGAAAAUACUCAGAUUAUGACGUGGUUCAAGAAACAUUUUCUCAACGUUGUAAUUCUUUUAAAAAUAAUGAUAAAAGCAGUUUACGAAUAAAAGGCACAUAAGCUAAAACAUGUUUUGAAAUCAGUUAAAAUCAAAUACAACAGUUGAGCGACCGUGCUAGAACCACGGAACCCGGGAAUGCCUAACACCUUCUCCCGGGUUAACAGAAUUCCUUGCUCGGAUAUCUGGUUCGCGGAUUGUUAGAAGAGUCAUAUCUUUCCUCGGUUCGGGAUUAAUCCGGUGACUUGGGACACUAUUAAUCUCCCAAGUGGCGAAUCUGAAUAAUUAAUAAUUAAAUCCCAUUCUGAUUGUCCUUUAAGUGGAAAAACGCCUUUACACCUUUGCGGGUAUAGUGAAAAAGGAGGCGUGGCACACAUAAGCUAUAUUUUUGUCGCAGAAGCGAAAAAGGUCUGGACAGAAACAUUUAGUUUGACCUUCGCGAAUUUUUGAAAGAACACAACAUUUCCACUUCGGACUAAGAAGGUUUCGGGCGUUUUUGAAUAGGGUUAUGAGAGCUUUCAUCAGGUAUGGAUUCUUGGAUUUAGAAUAUGUUAUUAUGGUGCAAAAUCAUGGAUUAACAUUGAAAACCCAAGGAAUUAAGUGUUAAAAAAUGUAGGUUAGGGCUUGAAACUUAAGAGAGUUUAAUCUAGAGAUUUGAGGGGUCAAGUGGUCUUCGAUUCUUGUGAAUUUGAUAUGCAUAGACUCGUGGCAAGAUAAGGAUCAUUUUUGUGUAAAUAUUUCUAACUUUCAAGAAGUGGUCCCGGGGCUCGUGUUUUUAAAAUUUCAUGAUUUUCGAUAUUUUUCGAGCCUUUUUGAUUGGGCUAUAUUCCCUUAGCCUAUUGUAAUGUAUUUGUUGUGGUUUUGGCCAGAUUCAACGUGUAAUGAGGCUAAUUCGAGAGGAAUGUGUAUUGCGAGAUAGUCUUUGGCCGGCUAGAGGUGAGUAAUAUAUGUAAAUGCUGAUCUGAGGGUUUUAAACCUCAGACUUUCAAAUCAUAGUACUAUAUUGAGGCGUGAAAUGCAUUUCACGGCGAGUGCAGGGUCUUUUACUAUUGGGGAUUGUGACUUGGUCCAUCCCUAGUGUUAUAUCUACUAUAUUGGUAAUUGAGACGCAUACUUCAUUACUAUGAAUUGGGCUUAUUGCCAUGUUUGGGGCGUUAUGCCGACCUUUAGAAUGCUUAGGGGAUCCUUAGAGAAGAACUACCCUAUUCACGAUUUAGAGUUGGCUACUAUUGUUCAUGCUUUGAAGACUCGAAGGAACUACUUAUAUGGCAUAUCUUGUGAGGUAUUCACCGAUCAUCGUAGUCUUCAACAUUUAUUCAAGCAAAAGGACCUUAAUUUGAGGCAGCGGAGGUGGCUUGAGUUGCUUGAGGAUUAUGAUAUUACUUUUCUGUAUCAUCCGUGAAAGGCCAAUGUACUGGACUAUACUUUGAGAUGAAAGGCUGUUAUUAUGGGGAGUUUUGCAUACAUUCCAGUUGGGGAGAGACCCGUUGUAGUUGAUAUUCAGGAGUUGGCCAAUCGAUUGGUGCGGUUUGAUAUUUAAGAGCCGAGCCGAGUGUUGGUGAGUGUGGUUUCUCGGUCUUCUUUAUUUGAUUGCAUCAGAGAGCGCCAGUAUGAUGACCCGCAUUUUCUUGUUCUUAGAGAUCGGGUUCAGCAUGGUGAUGCUAGGGAUGUGAAUGUCGGUCAUGAUGGUGUAUUGAAAAUGAGGGGUCGGAUUUGCGUGCCCAAUGUGGAUGGGCUUAGAGACAUGAUUCUUGAGAAGGCCCACCGUUUGCGGUAUUCCAUUCAUCCGGGUGCCACAAAGAUGUAUCAGGACUUGAGAUAGCACUAUUGGUGGAGGAGAAUGAAAAAAGACAUCGUGGGAUUUUUAGCUCGAUGUCUCAACUGUCAGCAGGUAAAAUAUGAGCAUCAGAGACCGGGCCGUUUGCUUCAGCGGAUGGUUAUUCCUGAGUGGAAAUGGGAGAGAGAUAUUAUAGAUUUCGUGAGUGGUCUUCCUUAGACUUUGAAGAAGUUCAAUUCGAUUUGGGUGAUUGUAGAUCGGCUGGCCAAGUCUACGCAUUUCAUUCUAGUGUGUACUACAUAUUCUUCAUAGCGGCUGGCAGGGAUUUUUAUCCGUGAGAUUGUCCAAUUGCAUGGUGUUCUAGUUUCUAUUAUUUCGGAUAGAGGUACUCAGUUCACUUCUCAGUUUUGGAGGAGUUUUCAGCGAGAGUUGGGUACUUUAGUGGAGUUGAGUUCACCGUUUCAUCCUCAGAUAGAUGGGCAGUCUGAUCGAACUAUCCAGAUAUUGGAGGAUAUGUUGAGGGCAUGUGUGAUUGAUUUUGGAGGUUCUUGGGAUGAGUUUUUGCCACUUGUAGAGUUUGCCUACAACAACAACUAUCACUCCAGUAUUCAGAUGGCACUAUAUGAGGCAGUGUAUGGGAGGCGGUGUAGAUCUCCGAUUGGUUGGUUCGAGCCCGGCGAGGCUAGGUUGUUGGGGAUAGAUUUAGUCCAGGAUUCCUUAGAGAAAGUGAAGGUGAUUCAAGAUAGACUUCGUAUAGCUCAGUAGCGUCAGAAGAGUUAUGCGGACCAGAAGGUCCGAGAUGUGUCUUAUAUGGAGGGUGAGAAGGUUUUGCUUAAGGUUUGGCCCAUGAAGGGUGUUAUGAGGUUUGGGACGAAAGGGAAGCUGAGUCCGCGGUUCAUAGGACCUUUUGAGGUACUUAUGAAGGUUGGAGAGGUGGCUUACACGCCUGCUUUUCCACCCAGCUUAUCGCGUGUCCAUCCGGUAUUUCAUGUGUCUAUGCUCCGGAAGUAUGCUGGGGACCCCUCUCAUGUUUUGUAUUUCAGCACUGUUCAUUUGGAUGAUGAUAUGACUUAUGAUGUGGAGCCAUUGGUUAUUUUGGGUCGUCAGGUUCGGAAUUGAGAUCAAAGGAUAUAGCUUCAGUAAAGGUACAGUGGAGAGGUCGGCCCGUGGAGGACGCUACUUGGGAUACCGAGCAGGAGAUGCGGAGCAGAUACCCUCACCUAUUUGAGACUCCAGGUAUGUUUCUUGACUCGCUCGAGGAUGAGCAUUUGUUUUAGUUGGGGAGGAUGUGACGACCCGACCUGUCAUCUCAUGUGAUCCCAUCCCGCUUUCCCCGUUUUAUUCUUCUUCAUGUGUCAUUAUAUGUGUUCAGUGAGUUUGAGUUGGUUCGGAUCAAGUUUGGUAAUGUUAGUUUGGAAAAGUCAACCGGAAGUUGACUUAUGAGUUAGAGGGCUUGUAUGUGAUUUUCGAUGAUUUGGUUAGUUUCGGGGAUGAUUUGAGGCUUGGGAGCGCAAUCGAAAGUGAUUUUAAAGGUUCGAUGUAGAAAUUAGCCUAUUUUGACGAAGUUAGGACUUUGGCAAAAUCUGUUUGGUAGGAGAGAUUUUGAUCCGAGGGUCGGAAAAGAAUUCCGAGAGUUUCAAUAGAUUUGUUAGCUGAUUUGGGUUGUAUGCGCAAAAUUUCAGUUGAUUCGGAGGUGCUUAGGUCGGGUUUUUGAUUGAAUAUGAGUUUCGGGAGUUUUGGUUGAACGUAGGCCUUGAUUUGAUGAAAUUUGAUGAUUUUGGGUGUUAACUAUAGUGUUUUGACCAUUCAAAAAAGUUUGAGUAAGGUAUUGGGUCACAUAUGUGUUUUUGGUUGAGGUCCCGGGGGCCUCGGGAUAUUCUCGGAUGGCCAACGGGGUGGAAUUUGGACUUGGGGGAUUGUUGAGUUAUCUGGUAUCUCGUAUUUCCGCAUCUGCAAAAAUGGGACCGUUGAAGCGGUGCUGCAGAUGUGGAAGGGAAGCCGCGGAUGCGGUUUUUGAGGCUUAGCUAUUUUCCGUAGACGCGGUCGGUGUGCUGCAGAAUCGGUCAUCGCAGAAACGGUCACCACAAAAGCGGUUAUGGACCGCAGAGGCAGUCUUGGGCAAUUUAAGGAAAACCAUAGAAGCGGUGGAAAGACCGUAGAAGCAGUAACCGCAUAAACUGUAUUUUGGUCGCAGAAGCAAAAAGGUCUAGAUAGAAUUAUUUAAUUUGACCUUCGCUAAUUUUUGAAAGAACACAACAUUUCCAUUUUGGACUAAUCAUCAGGUAUGGAUUCUUGGAAUUAGAAUAUGUUACUAUGCUGUAAAAUCAUGGAUUAACAAAAAAAACCCAAGGUAAUAAAAGAUAAAUAUGGAGGUUAGGGCUUGAAACUUAAGAGAGUUUAAACUAGGGAUUUCAGGGGUCAAAUGGACUCUGAUUCUUGUGAAUUUGAUAUGUAUAUACUUGUGGCAAGAUAAUUAUCAUUUUGGUGUAAAAACUUCAGACUUUCAAGAAGUGGGUCCGAAGCUCGGGUUUUGGAAAUUUCAUGAUUUUUGAUAUUUUUUGAGUCUUUUUGAUUGUGCUAUAUUCCCUUAGCGUAUUAUAAUGUAUUCAUUGCAUUUUUGGCCAGAUUCAACGCGCGAGGGGGUCGAUUCGAGAGGAAAGGGCAUUGCGAGCUAGUCUUUGGCCGGCUAGAGGUGAGUAAUAGAUGUAAAUGCUGCUCUGAGGGUUUGAAACCCCAGACUUUCACAUCGUAACGCUAUUGAGGCGGAGCAUGUUUUUUUCACAACGAGUGCGGGGCCGUUUACGGUUGGGGAUUUUGACUUGGUCCAUCCCAAGUGUUAUUUCUACUAUAUUGGCGUUUGAGACGCAUACUUUAUUACAGUGAAUUGGGCUUAUUUCCAUGUUUGGGGCCUUAUGCCGACCUGUAGAAUGCUUAGGGGAUCCUUAUGUGUUUUCCUCGCUUAUUUGCAUAAACUAUACUCUUAGUUAUGUUUUCAACUGUUAAAAAUAUAAUAAGAACUGUAUUUUUGAACCUUAAUAUUAAAUGAAAAGGAUAUGAGGGCUAAGAUCCUAUAGUAUGUCAUGCCCGAGCGGUUGUGACUUUAUUUGAUUGAGAUGGGUCGAGGACCCGAUAGUGAGGAUGUUUUUCCUUGACAUGGAUCAGAUUGUACGCCGCAGCAAUGAUAUAUUGAUAUUGAGGCCGAGAGCCUAUUUGAUGCCACGAGAUGACUGAUAUUGCGCUUGGGCUUUAGGAGCCCCUCUGAAGUCUGUACACACCCCAAUGAGCGUCGUCGAUGAUAAAUAAAUGGAGCGGGCUGCACGCCGCAGCGGGUACUAGAGUUUAUCGUUAUAUGUGUUGCAACUUGUCAUGCAUUAUUUCUUAACUGUGUUACAUGUUGAUUACCGUUUUCACUGAUAUUAAUCUUCAAUUGCUAGAUAUAUAUUACUUUGAGUAUUUUCUGUGAUUUCUUACCUUCGGACUGUAUUUAUGCUUAUUACUGACUAGGUCAGAGUACUCACUUUACUCCCUACACCAUGCACGCAGAUCCAGGUUCUUCUCAGGCUGAGUAGUUCCAGUUGAUCAGCAGAGUUAGCUUUUGGGAGUAUCGAGGUAGCUGCACAGCGUUCACAGCCAUUGAUUUCUCCCUUUAUCCCUAUCUUUUAUUUCCGUACUUCUGCUUCUAGAUAGACUUUCAGUAGGAUGGAAGCUCUGUAUUUAGAUGAUCAUAGUCGUGACACCGGAUCCAUGUUUUGGGAUUAUAUUCUGUAUUUUGUUAUAUUUUUUCAUUGUUAUCAGUAUCUCUAGAUCUUUGACUUAAGUGGUUUAGUGAAUUCUCUAUCGUAUUUAACUACAUCUUUU
This 13286-nucleotide long non-coding RNA is filed under the name Nicotiana benthamiana. RNAcentral's name for it is "long non-coding RNA (NBEN_LNC006576)". Lineage: Eukaryota; Viridiplantae; Streptophyta; Magnoliopsida; Solanales; Solanaceae. The record is from RNAcentral.